AUGGUUCAUUCUUCUUCUACCUGUAAUGGUCCGUGGCGUCCAGGCCAGCCUCUUCGGGGGCGUGGGGCUAUGGUUGGUCGCCGUGCUGCUGCCGGAGCAGUCCCCGCCGUCCAGGUCGGCCUCCUGCUAUACGUGGUGCUGUUAUUGGGCGUCGUGGUGGCCGCGGUGUUGUGCUGGGCCGUUCUGCAUUCAUGGCGGAUGUCGUCGCCGCCUUCGUUGCUGGGAUCGAUGCCCUCGGCCAUCGAGGAGAACUGUUGCGACUACUGCGGUUUCUCUCAUGGCGGUUUCCGAGAUGGUGAUCCUGUCCUUGCACCGGCGGAGGCCGUAGCCCGAGAGGGACGACCGGAGAGACCCGGCCUUAGAGCGAACUACCACGAGCUCCUUUGA
Molecule: ribosomal RNA, 387 nt
Filed under: Triticum aestivum (bread wheat)
Lineage: Eukaryota; Viridiplantae; Streptophyta; Magnoliopsida; Poales; Poaceae
Description: partial small subunit ribosomal RNA
Source: RNAcentral